Molecule: ribosomal RNA, 473 nt
Filed under: uncultured bacterium
Lineage: Bacteria
Description: bacterial SSU rRNA
Rfam family: Bacterial small subunit ribosomal RNA
Source: RNAcentral
ACUCCUACGGGAGGCAGCAGUGGGGAAUAUUGCACAAUGGGCGCAAGCCUGAUGCAGCCAUGCCGCGUGUAUGAAGAAGGCCUUCGGGUUGUAAAGUACUUUCAGCAGUGAGGAAGGCGGAGUCGUUAAUAGCGGCCUCGUUUGACGUUAGCUGCAGAAGAAGCACCGGCUAACUCCGUGCCAGCAGCCGCGGUAAUACGGAGGGUGCGAGCGUUAAUCGGAAUUACUGGGCGUAAAGCGCAUGCAGGCGGCCUGUUAAGUCAGAUGUGAAAGCCCGGGGCUCAACCUCGGAAUUGCAUUUGAAACUGGCAGACUAGAGUACUGUAGAGGGGGGUAGAAUUUCAGGUGUAGCGGUGAAAUGCGUAGAGAUCUGAAGGAAUACCAGUGGCGAAGGCGGCCCCCUGGACAAAGACUGACGCUCAGAUGCGAAAGCGUGGGGAGCAAACAGGAUUAGAUACCCUGGUAGCACAGAG